UAUUCACUCUCAAUGAGUGUGGUCAGCGAUAUAGCCUAUUUGAUUGUGCCCUUGAUCCCUUCUCCAAUAGCGAUAGCAAAAUGGUUGAACACUCUCGUCAGCAGAUGCCCAUAUUCCAUUCCGUGCUUGCUGUCCUUAGCAGUGACAGUCUUGUGGAUAUGCUCAUAAUAGCAAGGAGAUUGACAUCUUCAACCUUGAUAAGAGUUUCCAUGAGGAACAAG
Molecule: unclassified non-coding RNA, 221 nt
Filed under: Hevea brasiliensis (rubber tree)
Lineage: Eukaryota; Viridiplantae; Streptophyta; Magnoliopsida; Malpighiales; Euphorbiaceae
Source: RNAcentral